GUUGUCGGGCCUUCAUUGGCUUGGUAACGUAGCUAACGCGUGAAGUUGACCGCCUGGGGAGUACGGUCGCAAGAUUAAAACUCAAAGGAAUUGACGGGGACCCGCACAAGCGGUGGAUGAUGUGGAUUAAUUCGAUGCAACGCGAAAAACCUUACCUACCCUUGACAUGUAUGGAACCCUGCCGAGAGGUGGGGGUGCCCGAAAGGGAGCCAUAACACAGGUGCUGCAUGGCUGUCGUCAGCUCGUGUCGUGAGAUGUUGGGUUAAGUCCCGCAACGAGCGCAACCCUUGUCCCUAGUUGUUACGCAAGAGCACUCCAGGGAGACUGCCGGUGACAAACCGGAGGAAGGUGGGGAUGACGUCAAGUCCUCAUGGCCCUUAUGGGUAGGGCUUCACACGUCAUACAAUGGUCGGAACAGAGGGUUGCCAAGCCGCGAGGUGGAGCCAAUCCCAGAAAACCGAUCGUAGUCCGGAUCG
Molecule: ribosomal RNA, 476 nt
Filed under: Burkholderia sp.
Lineage: Bacteria; Pseudomonadati; Pseudomonadota; Betaproteobacteria; Burkholderiales; Burkholderiaceae
Description: bacterial SSU rRNA
Rfam family: Bacterial small subunit ribosomal RNA
Source: RNAcentral